CGGUGUUUAACUGGCGUGAUGUGGGACGUCCUACCGGUGGGCUUAGCCUCGCGAGGGGCGGCCCAACUAAUAUCCCGUCGCGGUGCUCUUUACUGAGUGUCGAGUCGGGCCGGUACGGUUACUUUGAACAAAUUAGAGUGCUUAAAGCAGGCUAUCCUCGCCUGAAUACUGCGUGCAUGGAAUAAUGGAAUAGGACCUCGGUUCUAUUUUGUUGGUUUUCGGAACCCCGAGGUAAUGAUUAAUAGGGACAGAUGGGGGCAUUCGUAUUGCGACGUUAGAGGUGAAAUUCUUGGAUCGUCGCAAGACGGACAGAAGCGAAAGCAUUUGCCAAAAAUGUUUUCAUUAAUCAAGAACGAAAGUUAGAGGUUCGAAGGCGAUCAGAUACCGCCCUAGUUCUAACCAUAAACGAUGCCAGCUAGCGAUCCGCCGAAGUUCCUCCGAUGACUCGGCGGGGCAGCUUCCGGGAAACCAAAGCUUUUGGGUUCCGGGGGAAGUAUGGUUGCAAAGCUGAAACUUAAAGGAAUUGACGGAAGGGCACCACCAGGAGUGGAGCCUGCGGCUUAAUUUGACUCAACACGGGAAACCUCACCAGGCCCAGACACCGGAAGGAUUGACAGAUUGAUAGCUCUUUCUUGAUUCGGUGGGUGGUGGUGCAUGGCCGUUCUUAGUUGGUGGAGCGAUUUGUCUGGUUAAUUCCGAUAACGAACGAGACUCUAGCCUGCUAAAUAGGCGUACCUUAUGGUAUCGCGAAGGCCCCCGGCUUCGGCCGGUGGGUUUUUACUACCAACGUACAAACAAAUCUUCUUAGAGGGACAGGCGG
RNAcentral lists this ribosomal RNA (820 nucleotides) under uncultured eukaryote. RNAcentral describes it as "SSU rRNA". It matches the Rfam family "Eukaryotic small subunit ribosomal RNA", at positions 629 to 1426 of the family's 1831-position model. The record is from RNAcentral.